CUUGGGAAUUCACUAUAACCCCCUUGGAUUACAGCCGGUUGUUUUGCAAGCUCACAACCAAACUUGUUGUUUUACGAGCUUACAACGAACUCGGUCAGUUUUCCCAGGCUCACCGACUAGAACCAACCCCGAUUGUUUUUCCGGGCUCACAAUCAAACCCUUACACACGUUGGUUUUUAACUUGGCUCACCAACCAACCUUAAUCCCCUUGAUUCAAUCCCCCGAUUGAACCAAGUAAAUACAAGUUAUAGAAAGAAAGAAAAAUA
Molecule: long non-coding RNA, 266 nt
Filed under: Phoenix dactylifera (date palm)
Lineage: Eukaryota; Viridiplantae; Streptophyta; Magnoliopsida; Arecales; Arecaceae
Description: long non-coding RNA (PDAC_LNC003451)
Source: RNAcentral